ACCGAUAAACGGCAAACCGUCCGUGAGGGUGGGGCGCAAAGCGCAGGGCCUCUGAUGAGGUCGCCUGGCUGCCGAA
Molecule: non-coding RNA, 76 nt
Filed under: Elusimicrobiota bacterium
Lineage: Bacteria; Pseudomonadati; Elusimicrobiota
Description: Elusimicrobia bacterium c-di-GMP sequence
Rfam family: c-di-GMP-I riboswitch aptamer
About the family: GEMM was predicted in a large-scale screen for bacterial structured RNA regulatory elements. Genes associated with GEMM are involved in a diverse array of functions, including chemotaxis regulation, signal transduction, secretion and chitin.
Source: RNAcentral